Molecule: ribosomal RNA, 253 nt
Filed under: uncultured bacterium
Lineage: Bacteria
Description: partial 16S ribosomal RNA
Rfam family: Bacterial small subunit ribosomal RNA
Source: RNAcentral
UACGGGGGGGGCAAGCGUUGUUCGGAAUUACUGGGCGUAAAGGGCUCGUAGGCGGCCAACUAAGUCAGACGUGAAAUCCCUCGGCUUAACCGGGGAACUGCGUCUGAUACUGGAUGGCUAGAGUGUGGGAGAGGGAUGCGGAAUUCCAGGUGUAGCGGUGAAAUGCGUAGAUAUCUGGAGGAACACCGGUGGCGAAGGCGGCAUCCUGGACCACGACUGACGCUGAGGUGCGAAAGCGUGGGGAGCAAACAGG